Molecule: ribosomal RNA, 497 nt
Filed under: uncultured bacterium
Lineage: Bacteria
Description: partial 16S ribosomal RNA
Rfam family: Bacterial small subunit ribosomal RNA
Source: RNAcentral
GAUGAACGCUGGCGGCGUGCCUAAUACAUGCAAGUCGAGCGAACAGAUGAGGAGCUUGCUCCUCUGACGUUAGCGGCGGACGGGUGAGUAACACGUGGAUAACCUACCUAUAAGACUGGGAUAACUUCGGGACACCGGAGCUAAUACCGGAUAAUAUAUUGAACCGCAUGGUUCAAUAGUGAAAGACGGUUUUGCUGUCUCUUAUAGAUGGAUCCGCGCCGCAUUAGCUAGUUGGUACGGUAACGGCUUACCAAGGCGACGAUGCGUAGCCGGCCUGAGAGGGUGAUCGGCCACACGGGAACUGGGACACGGUCCAGACUCCUACGGGAGGCAGCAGUAGGGAAUCUUCCGCAAUGGGCGAAAGCCUGACGGAGCAACGCCGCGUGAGUGAUGAAGGUCUUCGGAUCGUAAAACUCUGUUAUUAGGGAAGAACAAAUGUGUAAGUAACUAUGCACGUCUUGACGGUACCUAAUCAGAAAGCCACGGCUAACUACGUG